AUAAGGUCAGCUCCUUAGCUUCCCUUUGUUCUACCGCUACUCGAAAAAUUAUGCGCUUUUAACAUUGUUCCAUUGCUAUGACUAUGACACAUUGAUUCUCUUUCGACUGAUUACCAUAUCGUGUUGCAAUCAAUUGACAGUCUCUGUGAUUAAGUUGCAACUUGAAUGUUUUCUUGCCUACUUCUAACUUUGGGUGUUUCAUUCUGCACACUGUUAUUGGGAUGACCAUGAUCAUGUAAGCACCAAUAUUCUGUUGGAAAUUCAAAUUAAAAGCCAUGUGAUGUCUAACUAUCUGUCCAUGUGAUGCUAGCUUUUCUUUCCAGGUUGUAUCCAGCAAAUAUAAACAUCAUUGCUCCUCCAUUUGUUAACCGAAAGCUGAUUUAAAGACGGCAGAGAUGUGAGCUGCUGUGUGCUAGCCGAAAGGUUGUGUUUGCAAGCUGGAAGGAUGCAAUGCAUGUGUGUGCCAACUAUCCAAAGUUGCUGCAUGUGUUUGAAAGGGUGGAAAGAGG
Molecule: long non-coding RNA, 509 nt
Filed under: Malus domestica (apple)
Lineage: Eukaryota; Viridiplantae; Streptophyta; Magnoliopsida; Rosales; Rosaceae
Description: long non-coding RNA (MDOM_LNC021151)
Source: RNAcentral